GCUGGGCAUGGUGGUGCAUGCCUGUAAUCCCAAUGACGCGGGAGGCUGAGGUUAGAGGAUCAUGGGUUUAGGCCAGCCUCAACAACUUAGCAAGACCCUGUCUCAA
RNAcentral lists this small RNA (106 nucleotides) under Marmota monax (woodchuck). The record is from RNAcentral. Lineage: Eukaryota; Metazoa; Chordata; Mammalia; Rodentia; Sciuridae.